Molecule: ribosomal RNA, 862 nt
Filed under: Chalaropsis thielavioides
Lineage: Eukaryota; Fungi; Ascomycota; Sordariomycetes; Microascales; Ceratocystidaceae
Description: partial large subunit ribosomal RNA
Rfam family: Eukaryotic large subunit ribosomal RNA
Source: RNAcentral
AUAAGCGGAGGAAAAGAAACCAACAGGGAUUGCCCUAGUAACGGCGAGCGAAGCGGCAACAGCUCAAAUUUGAAAUCUGGCUACUUUGUAGUCCGAGUUGUAAUUUGUAGAGGAUGCUUUUGGUGAGGUGCCUUCCGAGUUCCCUGGAACGGGACGCCAGAGAGGGUGAGAGCCCCGUACGGUUGGAUACCAAACCUUUGUAUAGCUCCUUCAACGAGUCGAGUAGUUUGGGAAUGCUGCUCUAAAUGGGAGGUAUAUCUCUUCUAAAGCUAAAUAUAGGCUAGAGACCGAUAGCGCACAAGUAGAGUGAUCGAAAGAUGAAAAGCACUUUGAAAAGAGAGUUAAACAGCACGUGAAAUUGUUGAAAGGGAAGCGCCUAUGACCAGACUUGUUUCUUUCAGUUUUGUUAGUUCUCGGACUGAUUUACUCUGUUAGUACAGGCCAGCAUCAGUUUGUUGUCGGGGAGAAAGGCUUAGGGAAUGUGGCUCCUUCGGGAGUGUUAUAGCCCUUUGCAUAAUACCCUUCGGCAGACUGAGGACCGCGCUUCGGCAAGGAUGCUGGCGUAAUGGUCAUCAGCGACCCGUCUUGAAACACGGACCAAGGAGUCAACCUUAUGUGCGAGUGUUUGGGUGUAAAACCCCAGCGCGUAAUGAACGUGAACGUAGGUGAGAGCUUCGGCGCAUCAUCGACCGAUUCUGAUGUUCUCGGAUGGAUUUGAGUAAGAGCACACAGGGUUGGACCCGAAAGAAGGUGAACUAUGCUUGUAUAGGGUGAAGCCAGAGGAAACUCUGGUGGAGGCUCGCAGCGGUUCUGACGUGCAAAUCGAUCGUCAAAUAUGAGCAUGGGGGCGAAAGACUAAUCG